This 427-nucleotide ribosomal RNA is filed under the name uncultured bacterium. Its description in RNAcentral is "bacterial SSU rRNA". It matches the Rfam family "Bacterial small subunit ribosomal RNA", at positions 354 to 796 of the family's 1533-position model. The record is from RNAcentral.
GUAAGGGAUAUUGCGACAAUGGGCGAAAGCCUGACGCAGCAACGCCGCGUGUGGGAUGACGGCCUUCGGGUUGUAAACCACUUUUCUGCGUGAAGAGGAAGGACGGUAGCGCAGGAAUAAGUCUCGGCUAACUACGUGCCAGCAGCCGCGGUAAAACGUAGGAGGCGAGCGUUAUCCGGAUUUACUGGGUGUAAAGCGCGUGCAGGCGGUCUUUCAAGUGGUGCGUGAAAGCGCCCGGCUCAACCGGGCGAGGCCGUGCCAGACUGAGGGACUGGAGUGAGGUAGAGGCGUGUGGAAUUCCGGGUGUAGUGGUGAAAUGCGUAGAGAUCCGGAGGAACACCAGAGGCGAAGGCGACACGCUGGGCCUACACUGACGCUCAGACGCGAAAGCAUGGGGAGCGAACGGGAUUAGAAACCCCAGUAGUCC